GACUCCUUCCAGCUUCUCUUCCUCUCUGCUCCUGUUCCGGCCAUCAGCAGGCUUGGGGCUAUAGCUGACUCACAGCUGAGCUCCCCACCCCUCCUGCUGACUCAUGGCUUCCUCCAGCUGACUUCUUUAUCUCCUUUGCAGCAGCCUGGCUUCUCCUGUCUUGGGGCUGGCUUUUCUUGUAUCCUUGUAUUUCAGCUCCAACCUCUACUACCAUCGCCCAGACUCUCUCACUGUCUCCCAGUAUAAAUUCCCUGGGUCAGACAGGCUACUGGCCAGCUGCAUAGAUCUACACAAUCCUGCUCCAGCCACACUGUGCCCUCAAGAGAUGAAAAGUUGCUGAAGGAGGAACUCCAUCUGUGUAGCUAUGAGGAAGUUGUCAUUUAUGCUAGGGUGAAAUAUUCCAACCAUGCAGCUGUUUGGGAGUGGAAUAUGCUACCUUUCCAACUCAGUGUCCACUGCUGCGGACAUAGAGGCUCUAAGAACAACUUGAUAGCCUUCAAAGUCUGUCUGCUGGUUUGUCCUGGGAAUGAGCUGGGGCUGAGGAGAGAAGCCAGAUGGCUGCAACAGGGGAAUGCCAUAAUAGCGAUUGGUCUAGAUUUCCAAGAAACUUGAAUACAGGUGAGUGGGCAUUGGCAGUCACCUUGGCUUCUGUCCAGCUACCAAAGCACAGGUCCAGACCAGUGGGACCCAAGCUAAGCACAGUUCCUCUUUACUCUAGGUCCAGCCAAGGGAACUGCAUUGAGCUGCCCCUGAUUCCUGUUUAGGUGGAUCCUCCCUGCAUCUUCUGUAACAGGUGCCCUUGCUGUUGGGUUAGCUUGCUGACUCAAGGGAGGUCCUUGCUUACUCUCAUUGUCCCCUUCUGGUUGCCAACACAAUUGACAAGGAUGUCAGGAGCUCUGGAUCUGCCAUCUUCAGUGCUGUGUUCCAGAGUGGAGCAGACCUCACCCCUGUAAUUUCCCCAGAGCAUACAGCCUGAGAGCACCUCCCAAAGCUGCUGUAGAGGCAUGUGACCUGCUGUGGGUUGCCUUUGCAUUAAUUACCUGGCAGGGUUAUCAAGCACCACUGGCCUUGUCUCAGAAAAGGGCUUCUUCACAAUCAACAUUAGAGACAGCACAGAGCUGGAGAAGAUGAAAAGCAGUGUGAGCACAAAAGAAUAGAUGACAUUUGGAGAAGGGAGAGCAGAUGCAGACAUAGAGACUGAUUGUAAUAUGAAGUGACUGAGUGCCAGAUGCCUAACUGCCGGCUUCUGGGGGUCUUUCAGGUUAGGACAAAGCAGGCACAUGAGAGACCCUGUGGCAGAGGGCAUUAGAGUUGACCCUUGGUGGUCUCUUACCCUCUCUGUCCUUUGCUUUUUUUUCUCAUCUGUAAAAUUUGAUAGUAAUGCAUUCUAACUGGAAAGUAAUGGUGAGAGAAUGUGGACUAACAGGACAGCUGUCUAACAGGCAUUUUAGCCAUAAUUACCAAGACCCCAGGCACAGGAAGCAGGCAAGGAAUUGAUAGACACAAAGAAUGAAGCUCAUUUUGUAGGACUACAGUGGACUUUUUCUUGUAGUUUUGAACCCAUAUGCUAGGUAAGCACUUAACUAGAGUUUUGUCUACAAUCCCCAUCUCCAUAAAAUUAUUUAUUUUCUGAGACAGGCCUCCACGUAUAGCCGAGGCUUGCCUUGAACUCACUCUUUUUGCACAGGUUGACUUCAGAUUCACAGCAAUCUUCCUGCCUCAGCCUUUCAGGCUUUCAAGGGUUAGGAUUACAGGUGCUCAGUGAGUGACAAUAGUGUGUGUUUUUUUGUGUGUGUGCUAGGAAUUGAAUUUAGAGUCUCACAUGUGCUAGGUCUACCACGGAACUAUAUUCCAGCCCAGAGACAGGUUCUGACAAAUUAUGAAGGUUGGAACUUGCUAUGUGGCCUGGGGAGGCCUCAAACUGGCAUCCUCCUUCGUCAGUCUCCAAGUAGAUGAGCUUAUAGGCCUGCACCACCAGGCCUACCUAAAAUAGAUUUUGAUUUAAAUGCUUGUCUUGUUUGUUUCCCAGAGCUGACUGUAAUCCCAGUUGGUGAACUGGGACUGUGACCCGCUGUUGUGAACUGGCAGUGUUUGCUGGUUUCCCCACUGUGUUUUUGGUUCAUCUCUGGCUCCAGGGUGAUGGUCUUGAGUGCAGAGCCUGGAAGGAAGAAUUGCUCACCCACUGUGGCUGCAUUUCCAUCAUACAGUGCAGCGGACUCAAUAGAGCACACUGAAGAGCAGCAUGUAGCAAAUGAAUUGGGAAUGAUGAGUAUAAAUAUCUAUUUGUUUAUUUGGUAUUUUAAGACAGAGUUUCUCUGUGUAGCCCUGGUUGUCCUGGAUCUCACUCUGU
Molecule: non-coding RNA, 2350 nt
Organism: Cricetulus griseus (Chinese hamster)
Lineage: Eukaryota; Metazoa; Chordata; Mammalia; Rodentia; Cricetidae
Source: RefSeq, a predicted model, not a curated record